UAUGGUCGGACUGAACAUUUUAGUAAGCAAGAAGCUAGCCCGAAACGAGCAGAAUGAAAAGAGUACAGGAGGCCGGACACACUCCCAAAUGGCUAUACAACCCAUGAGUUUAUGCGGCCUUUCUGAGAUGAAACAUUAAAAUCGGUGCCUGAAACUUUUAUUCAGUUUCGUCCGAAAGUAAAUCAUCUGCGAUUGGCGACUCAAAGCGGCAGAUACUGUGCAAGGCGAAGCAAACCUAAUAAUAAUAAUAAUAAAUAAUAUAAACAUAAAACAUAAAAUAAUUAUUAACAUAAUAAUGCUGAAUAAAGAAAUCAAGGCAAGAUCCUGGAAGGGUGCUGCCAAUAGCCAAUAUGUACAUA
This is a long non-coding RNA of Drosophila pseudoobscura, 359 nucleotides long. RefSeq lists it as uncharacterized. Lineage: Eukaryota; Metazoa; Arthropoda; Insecta; Diptera; Drosophilidae. The record is from RefSeq and is a predicted model, not a curated record. The transcript is spliced from 2 exons.